This 468-nucleotide ribosomal RNA is filed under the name uncultured bacterium. RNAcentral describes it as "partial 16S ribosomal RNA". It matches the Rfam family "Bacterial small subunit ribosomal RNA", at positions 28 to 507 of the family's 1533-position model. The record is from RNAcentral.
GACGAACGCUGGCGGCGUGCUUAACACAUGCAAGUCGAACGGAAAGGCCCUGCUUUUGUGGGGUGCUCGAGUGGCGAACGGGUGAGUAACACGUGAGUAACCUUCCCUUGACUUUGGGAUAACUUCAGGAAACUGGGGCUAAUACCGGAUAGGAGCUCCUGCUGCAUGGUGGGGGUUGGAAAGUUUCGGCGGUUGGGGAUGGACUCGCGGCUUAUCAGCUUGUUGGUGGGGUAGUGGCUUACCAAGGCUUUGACGGGUAGCCGGCCUGAGAGGGUGACCGGCCACAUUGGGACGGGGAUACGGCCAGGACUCCUACGGGAGGAAGCAGUGGGGAAUAUUGCAAAAUGGGCGGAAGCCUGAUGCAGCAACGCCGCGUGCGGGAUGACGGCCUUCGGGUUGUAAACCGCUUUCGCCUGUGACGAAGCGUGAGUGACGGUAAUGGGUAAAGAAGCACCGGCUAACUACGUG